ACAAAAAUGUCUGAAGUCGUCGAGAAUUCUCUUACAAAAUUGGCUCACGAUUACUUCCGAACGCUCUCGCCGUUGGCAGAAAAGAUCAAUGCCGACAUUGAGGAAGUAAUUGUCGAGCUGCAGGACCACUGGACCUCCCUGAAACCCAAAGAAAAGGAGAAAAUUAUCGAUGACGCCUUACUGAAGCAAGAAAUCACCCUGAAAUACUUCAAUAAUUUCGAUUCGCGUUCCGAAUCCACGAAUUCCCUCAACUCCUCGGGCUACCAAUUCGACGGAAAGAAUCUCAUCACUUACUUCAAGCAAAAAUCGGGCAGAAAACUCGUAAAGGACGAAGCCAUUGGGAAAUUCCGUGACGAACAUUCAGCGCCAUUUUCGACAAGUACACGUUCACAGCUAAAUUUGCGUGUUUGCGAGCUCGAUCCGGAGGAAGAAGAAGGUCCCUCAGUCGAUUACAACAAAAUACUCAGUCAAAAACUCGCCCAGGAGGCAGUCAAACGUGCAGCUAUCAAAUCUCCGCUCAACAAAGCAAAUGCAGCCGCCGCCAAAGAUAAUAAUUCCAUCGGGAGUGGCGGAAAAAGUGCCGUUAUCGAACAAAUCGACUCGAAUAUCUCGUACAACAAAAUUCGAAACACGGACGAGCAAGUUGCCGAUGACGACGGAAAUUUCAUCAGCAAAUUCAUAAAUCGCCUUAGUGUCACACAAAAUCCCGCAAAUAAUGGCAACAAUAUGGACGAACACGAAAAUCUCGUGAGUGGCAUCAAUUUGUCCUUUUCGACGCAACACUCGGAAGAGUCAGAGGAAGAGGGGUUGCAUCACACGGAGAAAAGUUUGGAGUUUAAGAGUCUCCUUGACGACAAAGACGGCUUCGAUUUCUUGAAUAACUGGUAAUUUCGAUACCAGAAGCAACUUUUUUUUUACUCAAAAGUUCCUAAGGACUUUCUUUAAAAAUAUUUUUAAAUGUUCAGUGUUAAGCAGCUCAUUACUAAAAUUAAUGAAAAAAAUCAAUACAAAGGUGCCAUUUUUGCCGUAAGAAUAUGAAACUGAAUUAUUCCAGGAGAAUCGAAAAUGCCUGAAACAAGUAUUUAUGUAGGAUAGAAUAACCGAGUAUUUAAAAAAUAACACGUAAAAAUAUACUUAUACGUAUCAAAAACUGUAGAACUGAGACUUUUGUAGAUCCAAUGCAAUA
This is an RNA transcript of Culicoides brevitarsis, 1186 nucleotides long. RefSeq lists it as uncharacterized. Lineage: Eukaryota; Metazoa; Arthropoda; Insecta; Diptera; Ceratopogonidae. The record is from RefSeq and is a predicted model, not a curated record. The transcript has 3 exons.